This is a long non-coding RNA of Benincasa hispida (wax gourd), 1369 nucleotides long. RefSeq lists it as uncharacterized. The record is from RefSeq and is a predicted model, not a curated record. Lineage: Eukaryota; Viridiplantae; Streptophyta; Magnoliopsida; Cucurbitales; Cucurbitaceae.
UUCAAUUGUGUGUUCAUUAUCGCAACCUUCAACCUGUAGUCCGCUGAACCGCACGUCCUUCCCUCUUCCUCCACCCUAACUUCUUUGCCACCUUCUUCUCCUUUUCCUCCACUCUCUUUCUCAAACCAACUUCUAUUACUCUGUUCACCAACACUGUUGCUGUUGCUUCCUAUCUCUCUACGGACACCUCUUCUGCCAUCUCAUUUGACGAGCUCGAUCGCCUUUGUGCCGCCAAAGACUCCUGGCGAUUACAAAGCCAUUUCUGACGAAGUUUAUUUGGGAGCUAACGGAGGAGACACUGAAAAGGCAUCUGCCAUUGACAAAUACUUUGAGAAGGACACAGUUAAUGAACAACAUUCUGAGCCAUCCGACUAUUGGAGUGAUUGGACUCUUCUAGGAGCAAUUUAAUUUAAAAGGUUUUGAUGAAUCUUGGGAGCAUUGAAGAAGUGGAGAAAGUGGAAAAGGUUAGUGAUCGUGAAAAUUUUGCAAGGGUAGUUAGAAGGUCUGAAUUAAGUGCUAGCCAUGAGAACCAUUCAAAGUUCAAUCGGUAAGUCUAUGACUUGCAAUUGUAAUUGUCACAUUUAUAUUCUUUUGUGACCGAGGAGCUUUUUCAUGUUUGUGUAUCAUAACUGAUAAUUAUUAAGUGGUAUGUUAUUUAUACAUCUAUUUCAACCAUAAUUUAGAACCUACAUCUAAUUUUGUUGAUAUUAGUUGUGACUUCAAAGUUAUACGGGAGGGGGGCAGGUGUUGAAGGAUUUAAUGUUAGUUAUUUUUCUUACUUUGUUGUGAUAUAUUGAGCCAUAUAUUAUGUACUAAUAAUCAGUUGAAGUAGAUUAGAUUUCUCUCUUUUUUGGCUAGGACUGGAAGAAGUUCGAGGUAUGUUCUCUUACAAUAUCAUUUUUCUUGAUUUCUAGGAAGAUAUUCGAUGAAUAACGUAUGAAAAUGAUGUUAAAAAUUACAUGAAUAACAUUGUGGUUUAUAGAGAUGCUAAAGCAUGUGUAAGCAUUUGUAAUUUGGCUAAAAAUUGGUACCUUGUGUUGACAUUACAAAAGGGUAAAACCUUCUUAUAUUGUUAUCAUUGUCAACAUUGAUGUGUAAAGUUGUUGUCUAAAAUUAUUUUUUGUUUUCUUACUAGGUUUUGCAAAAGCCCAUUGGAGUAGUGAAGCCAUAAAACAAUCGAUUGAUUUAUAAGAUUUUUUUGUAGGGUUAGUGGCAAAAUUUUGGUUACAAUGUAUUUAUUUUAAGCUUUUUUGUAGAUUAUACUUAGCUAGCUUAUUGUAAAACCUUUACAAAUGGUUAUUUAGUCGACCUCUUUGUAAAAACACUAUGAACUUUUUCAUUAUAUAUAUAUGAAUGUCCUUUAUAUUUA